This is a long non-coding RNA of Triticum dicoccoides, 914 nucleotides long. RefSeq lists it as uncharacterized. Lineage: Eukaryota; Viridiplantae; Streptophyta; Magnoliopsida; Poales; Poaceae. The record is from RefSeq and is a predicted model, not a curated record. The transcript is spliced from 2 exons.
UGGUCAGAUUCUUUUCUAUGUUUACUUCAGUUCAAGCUUCUGUGCGCCUAGGUUCACUAUUUGCUGCUUGUAGGAUACUUACUCCAUGGCUGAUAAUAUCAGCGUGAUGGAUAAAUCUUAUGUUGCACCCUGUCAUUUGUUCUCAAGAGGCCAAGUGGUUUUCUGCAAAAAGCAUAGAGAAGUAUUGUAAAUUCACAGGAAAUAACAAAAUUGUUUAAAGUUUAUUUGGGUUGGAUCUGUAUAUACACUAUUUUCUUAAAACGCAAACAUGUACAUUCACAACUGAAUAGAUGAUACAUUUUUUUGGAUCUGUACAUGCAAUUUUUUGCACUGGAUUGGUGGUUAGUUUUAUGUACCGUUUGAAUUAUAACAGAAUAGCAUUAGUAGUGCUCUGAUUUAGUUCUCAUCAAAAUCAACAGCCCUCUCUUGUGUUCCUGUUAUGAGAAUUGUUCCUUCAAGGAUAUGCCAGAAUGACAUAUGUGUUCAAUCUUCAAUGUGAACAAUUGGUGUUUUCCUCUUAGUUUUGGCCCCUAAAUAUUUUUCUUGAAGCUCCACUAUCGCAUCCUGUUCCUGGUACAGCAAGUACCAGUUCUUGAGUGUUUGCACAGUUUUCCUCCAAGGAGCUCCAGGUCUACAAAAUUUGAAGUUCAAAACCAUAUAGCUCUACUCAGCAAAGAAUCUUCUCUUCUAUUUGAUUGUAAUAGAAUGUAAAUAUUCUAAUAUUGUAAUUGUAGGCAUAUCUGGGUUGUAAUAAGUAUAUAGAGAUUGUAGUAGACUUAGUUAGUUUUAUUUGAUGAACUACAUUUGUACUGUUCUGUUUGAAAUAUUGAUUAUGUACGUGAUUUGAAAACGUGUGGAAUGGAAACCUAACUUGUGGGAUUCACUUAUGAAAAUAAUCUCAGUUUUGAAUUUUC